RNAcentral lists this ribosomal RNA (440 nucleotides) under uncultured bacterium. RNAcentral's name for it is "partial 16S ribosomal RNA". It matches the Rfam family "Bacterial small subunit ribosomal RNA", at positions 338 to 795 of the family's 1533-position model. The record is from RNAcentral.
CCUACGUGCGGCAGCAGUAGGGAAUAUUGCACAAUGGGGGAAACCCUGAUGCAGCGACGCCGCGUGAGUGAAGAAGUAUUUCGGUAUGUAAAGCUCUAUCAGCAGGGAAGAUAAUGACGGUACCUGACUAAGAAGCCCCGGCUAACUACGUGCCAGCGGCCGCGGUAAUACGUAGGGGGCAAGCGUUAUCCGGAUUUACUGGGUGUAAAGGGAGCGUAGACGGCAGCACAAGUCUGGAGUGAAAUGCCGGGGCUUAACCCCGGAACUGCUUUGGAAACUGUGCAGCUAGAGUGCAGGAGAGGUAAGUGGAAUGCCUGGUGUAGCGGUGAAAUGCGUAGAUAUUAGGAGGAACACCAGUGGCGAAGGCGGCUUACUGGACUGUAACUGACGUUGAGGCUCGAAAGCGUGGGGAGCAAACAGGAUUAGAUACCCUAGUAGUC